UGGUCACACACACAGAGUGUCGAGUUGGAGUUCAGGUCUGCUUACGAUACCAGAACGAACAGAAACUCUGGUGAAGUCUGGAGUGGAAGAAAGAGGAAGCAAGGGAGACUAUUUGGGAAAGAGCCACUGCUAUGCCGGUCUGGGCAGACUGACAGUGGCGUGAACAGUUGAAACCAAGGACCAUUGUCUCCAUCUCCCCCUCCCUGCGGGGAAUCUACACACCCUGCACAGCACAGGAGGAACAACAUGUGCCAAGAAUACCAGGCAGCAGCCAACCAAGACCCGGACAAGUCCAGUUGGAGAGGCAGCUGCUACAAACCUCCUCUAAGGGCUGCUCAGUCUUCACAGAGAAACCCAGACAGUUGGUGGGGGAGAUGAUAGUAUGUGCGGUGUAUGCUGAAAACUAUGAAGUUGAGACCAUGAAAACGGUAUGAAAUGCAACGGCACAGCUAUCAAUGGAAUAUGGAAUUAGAGGCUC
Molecule: long non-coding RNA, 478 nt
Organism: Oncorhynchus keta (chum salmon)
Lineage: Eukaryota; Metazoa; Chordata; Actinopteri; Salmoniformes; Salmonidae
Exons: 3
Source: RefSeq, a predicted model, not a curated record